This 420-nucleotide ribosomal RNA is filed under the name Fusobacteriota bacterium. RNAcentral's name for it is "Fusobacteria bacterium partial 16S ribosomal RNA". It matches the Rfam family "Bacterial small subunit ribosomal RNA", at positions 355 to 776 of the family's 1533-position model. The record is from RNAcentral. Lineage: Bacteria; Fusobacteriati; Fusobacteriota.
UGGGGGAUAUUGCACAAUGGGCGAAAGCCUGAUGCAGCGACGCCGCGUGGGGGAUGAAGGCUUUCGGGUUGUAAACCUCUUUCGCUAUCGAACAAGGCCCGCUUAGGGUGGGUUGAGGGUAGGUGGAGAAGAAGCGCCGGCUAACUACGUGCCAGCAGCCGCGGUAAUACGUAGGGCGCGAGCGUUGUCCGGAAUUAUUGGGCGUAAAGGGCUUGUAGGCGGCUUGUUGCGCCUGCUGUGAAAACGCGGGGCUUAACUUCGCGCGUGCAGUGGGUGCGGGCAGGCUUGAGUGUGGUAGGGGGGACUGGAAGUCCAGGUGUAGCGGUGGAAUGCGCAGAUAUCUGGAGGAACACCGAUGGCGAAGGCAGGUCACUGGGCCAUUACUGACGCUGAGGGGCGAAAGCAUGGGUAGCGAACAGG